AACAGAGUGGCUUAGUGGAAAGAGCAUGUGUCUGGGAAUCUGAAGACCUGGGUUCUAGUCCCAGCUCUGUCA
Molecule: transfer RNA, 72 nt
Filed under: Ornithorhynchus anatinus (platypus)
Lineage: Eukaryota; Metazoa; Chordata; Mammalia; Monotremata; Ornithorhynchidae
Rfam family: tRNA
About the family: Transfer RNA (tRNA) molecules are approximately 80 nucleotides in length. Their secondary structure includes four short double-helical elements and three loops (D, anti-codon, and T loops).
Source: Rfam by way of RNAcentral